AGCGAACGUUUGCGGCGGGCCUAACACAUGCAAGUCGAACGGGCAUCUUCGGAUGUCAGUGGCGCACGGGUGCGUAACACGUGGAUAACCAACCCUCUAGUUCGGGACAUCAGCGGGAAACUGCUGCUAAUACCGGAUGUGUCCGCCGGGUCAUCAGGCCUGACGGAGAAAGGCACGCAAGGGCCGCUAGAGGACGGGUCCGCGUCCCAUCAGCUUGUUGGUGAGGUAAUGGCUCACCAAGGCGAAGACGGGUAGCUGGUCUGAGAGGAUGAUCAGCCACACUGGAACUGAGACACGGUCCAGACUCCUACGGGAGGCAGCAGUGGGAAUAUGCGCAAUGGGCGAAAGCCUGACGCAGCCACGCCGCGUGAGCGAUGAAGGUCUUAGGAUCGUAAAGCUCUGUGGAGGGAGAAGAAUAAAGCCGGUGAAGAGCCGGCCUUGACGGUAUCCCUUUAGCAAGCACCGGCUAACUCCGUGCCAGCAGCCGCGGUAAUACGGAGGGUGCAAACGUUGCUCGGAAUCAUUGGGCGUAAAGCGCGCGUAGGCGGCUUGGCAAGUUGGAUGUGAAAGCCCUGGGCUCAACCCAGGAGGUGCAUUCAAAAUCUGCCUGGCUUGAAUCUCGGAGGGGGCUCAGGGAAUUCCCGGU
RNAcentral lists this ribosomal RNA (646 nucleotides) under uncultured bacterium. Its description in RNAcentral is "bacterial SSU rRNA". It matches the Rfam family "Bacterial small subunit ribosomal RNA", at positions 28 to 674 of the family's 1533-position model. The record is from RNAcentral.